GGUCUCCGUAGGUGAACCUGCGGAGGGAUCAUUACACAAAUUAAAAUAUGAAGGCUUCGGCUGGAUUAUUUUUAUCACCCUUGUCUUUUGCGCACUUGUUGUUUCCUGGGCGGGUUCGCCCGCCACCAGGACCACACCAUAAACCUUUUUUAUGCAGUUGCAAUCAGCGUCAGUAUAACAAAUGUAAAUCAUUUACAACUUUCAACAACGGAUCUCUUGGUUCUGGCAUCGAUGAAGAACGCAGCGAAAUGCGAUACGUAGUGUGAAUUGCAGAAUUCAGUGAAUCAUCGAAUCUUUGAACGCACAUUGCGCCCUUUGGUAUUCCAAAGGGCAUGCCUGUUCGAGCGUCAUUUGUACCCUCAAGCUUUGCUUGGUGUUGGGCGUCUUUUGUCUUUGGCCUCGCCCAAAGACUCGCCUUAAAACGAUUGGCAGCCGGCCUACUGGUUUCGCAGCGCAGCACAUUUUUGCGCUUGCAAUCAGCAAAAAGGACGGCAAUCCAUCAAGACUACAUUUUUACGUUUGACCUCGGAUCAGGUAGGGAUACCCGCUGAACUUAAGCAU
Molecule: ribosomal RNA, 561 nt
Filed under: fungal sp. 51625
Lineage: Eukaryota; Fungi
Description: eukaryotic LSU rRNA
Rfam family: 5.8S ribosomal RNA (bases 197-350)
Source: RNAcentral